Molecule: ribosomal RNA, 542 nt
Filed under: Morganella longispina
Lineage: Eukaryota; Metazoa; Arthropoda; Insecta; Hemiptera; Diaspididae
Description: eukaryotic LSU rRNA
Source: RNAcentral
AUCUGGGCGGCGGAAUUCAGGAUGACGAGCGUGCUCUCGGGUACGCUGGUCGUUUGAUAUUUCCGUCGCCGAUCGAGACGUUGCGACCUGUUCGCGGCCGGUCCCUGCUCGGAGGAGCUGCGUUCGAGUUCGUUGCGUGCGCGUUUCGGCGUGUCACGCGGUGAAGGCGCGGAUCUCUGGCUGGCCGUCGGACAGUAUGCUCAACGGUGUCCGGUGUCGUCGUCUCGUACGCGCGCGCACCGGUACCGGUCAGCGACGAAUUCUUCGGGCCUCUUUCCGACCCGUCUUGAAACACGGACCAAGGAGUCUAACAUGCGCGCGAGUCGCGGGGUGUCGAGCGUACUUCGGUGCGUUCGUUACGUUGCGAAACCCGUACAUGUCGAAGGCGUAAUGAAAGUGAAUGGGGAAGAUGGUGUUCCGAGUUCACGUUCCGCGAUCGCUGGUAUCGCGGCCGGACACCCGCAUUCCCGGGGCGUCUCAACGGCCCGUCGCUGAUGCGGACUGUCGUCUCUCGGGGCGGCUGUCGGUCGGCGAUGAACCGA